UACGUAGGUGGCGAGCGUUAUCCGGAAUGAUUGGGCGUAAAGGGUGCGUAGGCGGCCUGCUAAGUCUGGAGUGAAAGGUACCGGCUCAACCGGUACAGGCUCUGGAAACUGGCGGGCUGGAGUUGGAGAGAAGUACGCGGAAUGCGCGGUGUAGCGGUGAAAUGCUUAGAUAUCGCGCAGAACCCCGAUUGCGAAGGCAGCGUACCGGCUCCACACUGACGCUGAGGCACGAAAGCGUGGGUAUCGAACAGG
Molecule: ribosomal RNA, 252 nt
Filed under: uncultured bacterium
Lineage: Bacteria
Description: partial 16S ribosomal RNA
Rfam family: Bacterial small subunit ribosomal RNA
Source: RNAcentral